RNAcentral lists this ribosomal RNA (256 nucleotides) under uncultured bacterium. Its description in RNAcentral is "partial 16S ribosomal RNA". It matches the Rfam family "Bacterial small subunit ribosomal RNA", at positions 524 to 776 of the family's 1533-position model. The record is from RNAcentral.
UACGUAGGGGGGCAAGCGUUGCCCGGAAUCAUUGGGCGUAAAGAGCGUGUAGGCGGCUCGGUAAGUCCGCUGUGAAAGUCCAGGGCUCAACCCUGGAAUGCCGGUGGAAACUGUCGAGCUCGAGUCCGGAAGAGGCGAGUGGAAUUCCUGGUGUAGCGGUGAAAUGCGCAGAUAUCAGGAGGAACACCAAUGGCGAAGGCAGCAUCGCUGGGACGGUAGCUGACGCUGAGACGCGAAAGCGUGGGGAGCAAACAGG